This 793-nucleotide ribosomal RNA is filed under the name Staphylococcus aureus. RNAcentral describes it as "partial 23S ribosomal RNA". It matches the Rfam family "Bacterial large subunit ribosomal RNA", at positions 1744 to 2536 of the family's 2925-position model. Lineage: Bacteria; Bacillati; Bacillota; Bacilli; Caryophanales; Staphylococcaceae. The record is from RNAcentral.
AGGGGUGCUCUUUAGGGUUAACGCCCAGAAGAGCCGCAGUGAAUAGGCCCAAGCGACUGUUUAUCAAAAACACAGGUCUCUGCUAAACCGUAAGGUGAUGUAUAGGGGCUGACGCCUGCCCGGUGCUGGAAGGUUAAGAGGAGUGGUUAGCUUCUGCGAAGCUACGAAUCGAAGCCCCAGUAAACGGCGGCCGUAACUAUAACGGUCCUAAGGUAGCGAAAUUCCUUGUCGGGUAAGUUCCGACCCGCACGAAAGGCGUAACGAUUUGGGCACUGUCUCAACGAGAGACUCGGUGAAAUCAUAGUACCUGUGAAGAUGCAGGUUACCCGCGACAGGACGGAAAGACCCCGUGGAGCUUUACUGUAGCCUGAUAUUGAAAUUCGGCACAGCUUGUACAGGAUAGGUAGGAGCCUUUGAAACGUGAGCGCUAGCUUACGUGGAGGCGCUGGUGGGAUACUACCCUAGCUGUGUUGGCUUUCUAACCCGCACCACUUAUCGUGGUGGGAGACAGUGUCAGGCGGGCAGUUUGACUGGGGCGGUCGCCUCCUAAAAGGUAACGGAGGCGCUCAAAGGUUCCCUCAGAAUGGUUGGAAAUCAUUCAUAGAGUGUAAAGGCAUAAGGGAGCUUGACUGCGAGACCUACAAGUCGAGCAGGGUCGAAAGACGGACUUAGUGAUCCGGUGGUUCCGCAUGGAAGGGCCAUCGCUCAACGGAUAAAAGCUACCCCGGGGAUAACAGGCUUAUCUCCCCCAAGAGUUCACAUCGACGGGGAGGUUUGGCACCUCGAUGUCGGC